Molecule: long non-coding RNA, 1059 nt
Organism: Rhopalosiphum padi (bird cherry-oat aphid)
Lineage: Eukaryota; Metazoa; Arthropoda; Insecta; Hemiptera; Aphididae
Exons: 3
Source: RefSeq, a predicted model, not a curated record
UCAGUAUAGUUUUUUAAAGUAAAUAUUAAAUCACCCGAAAUUUGCGUUUUGUUUAUGCAUAUAAAUAAUACUGUUUUUGAGUAGUUUUUUACAAUUGUGCAAAAAAUAUAAAAUUUAAAAAAUACCUCAUGAUUCAUAAGUGAUAAUAAAUUAAAUGUUAGUAACCUUCAGAAAUAAUCGCUGGUACGUAGUUAAUAAAUUACCCUUUAGACCCAUCACCAGACACCAGUAUGAAAACUCUCGGACAAUAUGGACGAUGCAAGUUUGAAUUCAAGAGAUCUCGUCACCAGUGUCUUUUUAGUUAACGUGAAGUGGUUAUCUGGGAUGAAUUCAUUGAUCAAGUUAGACUGACAAAUUUAUUUAUACUAUGGUCAUCGACCGCGCUGCGUUAAGUGCGGUGGUGAUCACCUCACCUUCGAGUGCAGCAAAGACAGUUCCUGCCCAGCCAAAUGUGCCCUGUGUGGGGGCGACCAUACGGCGAAUUUCAAAGGAUGUCUGUCAUUUAAAACUCUCCGCAAAUAUCAAUCCAAUAUUCAUCGCAUACCACAAAAACCUAUAACCUCAUAUCCUUCUAAUACAAAUUCUAACCCUAAUCCUGCAGACUCUAAGCCCAAAUAUUACGUUCAUACCUUAUCUGGUUCCGAAAACAAAAGUAACAAUAUUUCCGUAAUCGAAACGUUGUUAUCAACAUUUUUUCUGAAUUUCACUGCAAUCAUUAAUCUACUUAUAUAUCCCUUCUUUCCACUGUCCUAAACAAAAUUAAUUUACCUUAGUCACAUCAGCGUUACGUCUUACUCAUACAUCAUUUUAUUUUUCAUUCCGUAUAAUACAUUAAUUAAUUAUUAUUAUCUAUUUUAUUACUUAUAUUCUUAUUUAUCAUUAUCUUAUCCAUAUAAUUUAUAUUAUAUAACUUUAUAUACUCUCUAUAUUACUAUGCUAAUGCAUUCUACAUUAUUUAGUACAUGUAUAUUAUUUGUAUCGUCUUAUCUUGCUUAUGUACAUAAUUGUCGAGCCGUAAUAGUUUUGUACUAAUGGUUAAUAAAAAUAAAAAAUAUACAC